RNAcentral lists this ribosomal RNA (468 nucleotides) under uncultured bacterium. RNAcentral describes it as "partial 16S ribosomal RNA". It matches the Rfam family "Bacterial small subunit ribosomal RNA", at positions 28 to 507 of the family's 1533-position model. The record is from RNAcentral.
GACGAACGCUGGCGGCGUGCUUAACACAUGCAAGUCGAACGGAAAGGCCCUGCUUUUGUGGGGUGCUCGAGUGGCGAACGGGUGAGUAACACGUGAGUAACCUGCCCUUGACUUUGGGAUAACUUCAGGAAACUGGUGCUAAUACCGGCUAGGAGCUCCUGCUGCAUGGUGGGGGUUGGAAAGUUUCGGCGGGUUGGGAUGGACUCGCGGCUUAUCAGCUUGUUGGUGGGGUAGUGGCUUACCAAGGCUUUGACGGGUAGCCGGCCUGAGAGGGUGACCGGCCACAUUGGGACUGAGAUACGGCCCAGACUCCUACGGGAGGCAGCAGUGGGGAAUAUUGCACAAUGGGCGGAAGCCUGAUGCAGCGACGCCGCGUGCGGGAUGACGGCCUUCGGGUUGUAAACCGCUUUCGCCUGUGACGAAGCGUGAGUGACGGUAAUGGGUAAAGAAGCACCGGCUAACUACGUG